GCCUCCAUGGCGUAGUGGUUUAAAUGCUGGACUAUGACUCUGGAGACCAGGGUCCGAAUCCCUGCUUGGCCA
This 72-nucleotide transfer RNA is filed under the name Phrynosoma platyrhinos (Desert horned lizard). RNAcentral's name for it is "tRNA-OTHER". The stretch from base 9 to 72 matches the Rfam family "tRNA". Rfam says of the family: Transfer RNA (tRNA) molecules are approximately 80 nucleotides in length. Their secondary structure includes four short double-helical elements and three loops (D, anti-codon, and T loops). Lineage: Eukaryota; Metazoa; Chordata; Lepidosauria; Squamata; Phrynosomatidae. The record is from RNAcentral.